CCCGGGGUCUGAGCCACAUCUGCUCCUCCCACCCCUGCCCCCAGGGAAGCCCACACAGCUUUUCAACACAUCAACGUCUUUGGCCACGUGACCAGUGCCGAUGCAAAGGUCCCCUUCCUCCCACGGCCUCGCUGACCCAGGUGGUCACUGUCCGCUGCCCCUCCCCAGCCCUCUGAAGUCAGGCCAUGAGCCAACCUAUGCUCCAGCCCUUGCCCUGCCUUACUUACCUGACCGGCUGCCUGUCCCCCACAGACUGUGAGCAGAGUGGGGACAGGGAAGGAAGGACCGACAGUGACAAGCCUUUUCUGCCAGCCAGCGGGCUCAGGCAUGCGGUCGUGGAUUGCGGACAGGGCUCAGCAUUCCUCACAAGGGUGGGUGCCGGAAGGCACAGCAGAACCCUUGUGAGGGAGGAAGGAGCGCCACGGGUCCCGGGACCCGGCCUCAGGAAGCUGUGUGAGCCCUGGGUGCAGAGAAGCAGCCUCCUCCGGGGAGCCCCCCAGGCCUGCUGCAGCUGUGAGAAGUGGAGCGGAGGACAGCCCUGCCAGGACCGCCAAGAGGCUGGAGAUCUCGCAGCCUGGGCCCACCUCAUUGGUGUCACGCGUUCCUUCAACACGUAUUCACUGAGCACCUGCCGUGUGGGAGCUGCUGGGAUGCUGAAGGUGAACAGGACAGAUCCGACCCGUGCCCCUGAGAAGCUUCCAGUCUGCAGGAGGGGCCCCAAUGCGUAAAGGAACCCAUAAGCUGCGGGGCAGACGGGCAGGGAGCCCACGGGCAGGGAUGGGGCCGCGCGGGCUGGAGGGUGACCGGCCUUCACCUCGGGGAGGUGGAAUCGGCACAGCAGGUGGUGAGGCCGCGCAUCCCAGACCCGCGAAGCCGGAAGCAGUGGGAGACGGGGGAGUCACCAAGGGCAAGCGCUGCCACAGAAGCGCCACGAGGCACAGACAGGCGUUCUGGUGGCGCUUGGAAGGGUGGCCCGAGGACAGGACUCGGCUCAUCUCGGCAGCAGGGGGCGGCCCGCAGAGGGGACGAAGCCCCCCCAAGCUCCGGAAACCCGGCCCCAUCUGGGGGGUGGUGCCAGCCCCAAGCAAUGGGGCUCGAGAACCCGAGAUCAGCUUCCUGGCCCGUGGACAGCCUCGGGGGCAAAUGACACCACCUCCCGGAUGCCUUCUCAUCCUGCACGACACGGAAAAGACUUUUCAUUUGGAAUCCUUCCGAUGCAGAUGUGUGAAGACUCUGGUAGCGACAUCUCGGGGACUGAGCAUCUUCUAUUGA
This 1272-nucleotide long non-coding RNA is filed under the name Felis catus (domestic cat). RNAcentral describes it as "lncRNA (ENSFCAG00000049542.1)". Lineage: Eukaryota; Metazoa; Chordata; Mammalia; Carnivora; Felidae. The record is from RNAcentral.